Molecule: ribosomal RNA, 369 nt
Filed under: uncultured Parabacteroides sp.
Lineage: Bacteria; Pseudomonadati; Bacteroidota; Bacteroidia; Bacteroidales; Tannerellaceae
Description: bacterial SSU rRNA
Rfam family: Bacterial small subunit ribosomal RNA
Source: RNAcentral
UGAGGGAAUAUUGGGUCAAUGGACGAAAGUCUGAACCAGCCAUGCCGCGUGAAGGAAUAAGGCCCUAUGGGUCGUAAACUUCUUUUGUAUGUGAGCAAUAAGGUCCACGAGUGGUCCGAUGAGAGUAGCAUACGAAUAAGCAUCGGCUAACUCCGUGCCAGCAGCCGCGGUAAUACGGAGGAUGCAAGCGUUAUCCGGAUUCAUUGGGUUUAAAGGGUGCGUAGGUGGCUUGUUAAGUCAGCGGUGAAAGUCAGUGGCUCAACCAUUGAAUUGCCGUUGAAACUGGCGAGCUUGAGUACGUACGGGGCAGGCGGAAUGCGUGGUGUAGCGGUGAAAUGCAUAGAUAUCACGCAGAACCCCGAUCGCGAA